GACGAACGCUGGCGGCGUGCUUAACACAUGCAAGUCGAACGGAAAGGCCCUGCUUUUGUGGGGUGCUCGAGUGGCGAACGGGUGAGUAACACGUGGGUAACCUGCCCUUGACUUUGGGAUAACUUCAGGAAACUGGGGCUAAUACCGGAUAGGAGCUCCUGCUGCAUGGUGGGGGUUGGAAAGUUUCGGCGGUUGGGGAUGGACUCGCGGCUUAUCAGCUUGUUGGUGGGGAAGUGGCUUACCAAGGCUUUGACGGGUAGCCGGCCUGAGAGGGUGACCGGCCACAUUGGGACUGAGAUACGGCCCAGACUCCUACGGGAGGCAGCAGUGGGGAAUAUUGCACAAUGGGCGGAAGCCUGAUGCAGCAACGCCGCGUGCGGGAUGACGGCCUUCGGGUUGUAAACCGCUUUCGCCUGUGACGAAGCGUGAGUGACGGUAAUGGGUAAAGAAGCACCGGCUAACUACGUG
Molecule: ribosomal RNA, 468 nt
Filed under: uncultured bacterium
Lineage: Bacteria
Description: partial 16S ribosomal RNA
Rfam family: Bacterial small subunit ribosomal RNA
Source: RNAcentral